This 762-nucleotide ribosomal RNA is filed under the name uncultured Alphaproteobacteria bacterium. Its description in RNAcentral is "bacterial SSU rRNA". It matches the Rfam family "Bacterial small subunit ribosomal RNA", at positions 38 to 848 of the family's 1533-position model. The record is from RNAcentral. Lineage: Bacteria; Pseudomonadati; Pseudomonadota; Alphaproteobacteria.
GGCGGCACGCCUAACACAUGCAAGUCGAACGAAGUAGCAAUACUUAGUGGCAGACGGGUGAGUAACAUGUGGGUAUCUACCCUUUGGCCUGGAAUAACACGAGGAAACUUGUGCUAAUACCGGAUAAGUCUUUACGGAGAAAGCUUUAUGCACCAUUGGAUGAGCCCGCACUUGAUUAGUUUGUUGGUAGGGUAAUGGCCUACCAAGACUAUGAUCAAUAGCUGAUUUGAGAGGAUGAUCAGCCACAUUGGGACUGAGACACGGCCCAAACUCCUACGGGAGGCAGCAGUGGGGAAUCUUGCACAAUGGAGGAAACUCUGAUGCAGCGAUGCCGCGUGAGUGAAGAAGGCCUUUGGGUUGUAAAGCUCUUUCGUCGGGGAAGAAAAUGACUGUACCCGAAUAAGAAGGUCCGGCUAACUUCGUGCCAGCAGCCGCGGUAAUACGAAGGGACCUAGCGUAGUUCGGAAUUACUGGGCUUAAAGAGUUCGUAGGUGGUUGAAAAAGUUGGUGGUGAAAUCCCAGAGCUUAACUCUGGAGCUGCCAUCAAAACUUUUCAGCUAGAGUAUGAUAGAGGAAAGCAGAAUUUCUAGUGUAGAGGUGAAAUUCGUAGAUAUUAGAAAGAAUACCAAUUGCGAAGGCAGCUUUCUGGAUCAUUACUGACACUGAGGAACGAAAGCAUGGGUAGCGAAGAGGAUUAGAUACCCUCGUAGUCCAUGCCGUAAACGAUGUGUGUUAGACGUUGGAAAUUUAUUUUCAGUGUCG